This 469-nucleotide ribosomal RNA is filed under the name uncultured bacterium. Its description in RNAcentral is "bacterial SSU rRNA". It matches the Rfam family "Bacterial small subunit ribosomal RNA", at positions 328 to 794 of the family's 1533-position model. The record is from RNAcentral.
GUUCCAGACUCCUACGGGAGGCAGCAGUGAGGAAUAUUGGUCAAUGGUCGGGAGACUGAACCAGCCAAGCCGCGUGAGGGAUGAAGGUACAGAGUAUCGUAAACCUCUUUUGUCAGGGAACAAAGGCGGGGACGUGUCCCCGGAUGAGUGUACCUGAAGAAAAAGCAUCGGCUAACUCCGUGCCAGCAGCCGCGGUAAUACGGAGGAUGCGAGCGUUAUCCGGAUUUAUUGGGUUUAAAGGGUGCGUAGGCGGUCGGAUAAGUUAGAGGUGAAAUCCCGAGGCUCAACUUCGGAAUUGCCUCUGAUACUGUUCGGCUAGAGAGUAGUUGCGGUAGGCGGAAUGUAUGGUGUAGCGGUGAAAUGCUUAGAGAUCAUACAGAACACCGAUUGCGAAGGCAGCUUGCUAGGCCGGAUCUGACACUGAUGCACGAAAGCGUGGGGAUCGAACAGGAUUAGAUACCCUAGUAAA